This 543-nucleotide ribosomal RNA is filed under the name uncultured Bacilli bacterium. Its description in RNAcentral is "bacterial SSU rRNA". It matches the Rfam family "Bacterial small subunit ribosomal RNA", at positions 73 to 601 of the family's 1533-position model. Lineage: Bacteria; Bacillati; Bacillota; Bacilli. The record is from RNAcentral.
GGGAAGCUUGCUCUUCUUGGAUGAGUUGCGAACGGGUGAGUAACGCGUAGGUAACCUGCCUUGUAGCGGGGGACAACUAUUGGAAACGAUAGCUAAUACCGCAUAACAAUGGAUGACACAUGUCAUUUAUUUGAAAGGGGCAAUUGCUCCACUACAAGAUGGACCUGCGUUGUAUUAGCUAGUAGGUGAGGUAACGGCUCACCUAGGCGACGAUACAUAGCCGACCUGAGAGGGUGAUCGGCCACACUGGGACUGAGACACGGCCCAGACUCCUACGGGAGGCAGCAGUAGGGAAUCUUCGGCAAUGGGGGCAACCCUGACCGAGCAACGCCGCGUGAGUGAAGAAGGUUUUCGGAUCGUAAAGCUCUGUUGUAAGUCAAGAACGAGUGUGAGAGUGGAAAGUUCACACUGUGGCGGUAGCUUACCAGAAAGGGACGGCUAACUACGUGCCAGCAGCCGCGGUAAUACGUAGGUCCCGAGCGUUGUCCGGAUUUAUUGGGCGUAAAGCGAGCGCAGGCGGUUUGAUAAGUCUGAAGUUAAAGG